CACGUAGGGGGCAAGCGUUGUCCGGAUUUAUUGGGCGUAAAGAGCUCGUAGGCGGCUCAGUAAGUCAGGUGUGAAACCUCCAGGCUCAACCUGGAGACGCCACCUGAUACUGCUGUGGCUAGAGUCCGGUAGGGGAGCGUGGAAUUCCUGGUGUAGCGGUGAAAUGCGCAGAUAUCAGGAGGAACACCCGUAGCGAAGGCGGCACUCUGGGCCGAUACUGACACUGAGGAGCGAAAGCGUGGGGAGCGAACAGG
Molecule: ribosomal RNA, 254 nt
Filed under: uncultured bacterium
Lineage: Bacteria
Description: partial 16S ribosomal RNA
Rfam family: Bacterial small subunit ribosomal RNA
Source: RNAcentral